RNAcentral lists this long non-coding RNA (2566 nucleotides) under Homo sapiens (human). RNAcentral describes it as "HSALNT0102605". Lineage: Eukaryota; Metazoa; Chordata; Mammalia; Primates; Hominidae. The record is from RNAcentral.
CCAGAUCAGAUCAUGUAAGAUCCUUUAAACCUCUGGUCAUCACUUUAGUUUAUAUUCUCAGUGAGAUGGGAAGCCAUUUGAGGACUUUUAGGCCAAGGAUGGAUAUAAUCUCUCUUAACUUUCAAAAUGAUCACUUUGGCAACAGUAUGGAUAAUGGACUAUAUGGCAGCCAAGUGUGAAAGUAUUGAAAUCAAUUAAGUCUAUUGUAAGUCUAAACAAGAGGUAAUGGUCCACACUGCAGUGUGAACAGUAGAGAGGUUGAGAAGUAAUCAGAUUCUGGAAGAGCUGAUAGGAUUUUCUAAUGGGUUAAAUAAAGAUGUGAGAGGAAGAGCAGAAUCAGGAUGAUUCUAGUUUUAGACUUGACCCACUAAAAGAAUGAAGAUGCAAAAGAGAGAAUAGUAGUCCUUUCUUUGCCAAAAAUCAGCUCUGCAUAGCUGUGUCUAUUUUGUUCCAUUGAUCUAUGUGUCCGUCCCUCUACCAGGACCACUCUGUUUGGAUUCCUGUAGACACAAAAUCACAUUGGGUUUGUGAUUUCUCCAACCUUAUCGUUUUCAAAAUUGCUUAAGUAAUUCUAUGUAUUUUGCCUUUCCAUACUCAUUUUAGAAUGAGCUUGUCAAAAAAUCAUGCUGGGAUUAUGUUGGCAAUUGCAUUAAAUCUAUAGAUCCAUUUGGUGAAUAUUACUGUCUUUACUAUGUUGAUUACUCCAAUUCCUGACUACAGUAUGUCUCUCCAUUUAUUUAGGUCUUUAAUUUUAUAAAUCAGCAUUGUUUGGAUUUUACUAUAUACAUCCUAUGCAUGUUUUCUUAGAUUUACACCUAAGUAUUUCUCUUUUGGAGGAAUUAUUCUAAAUGAUAUUUAUUUUUACUGUCAGUUUUUAAUUACUCAUUGCUAGAAUAUAGAAUUAUAAUUGUCAAUUAAGUUGUGACAGAUUAAUUUCUUUCUGAUUCGUAUGCCUUUUCUUUUUUUUCAUUUUUCUUUUUCUUUUGCCUUAUUGUGCUGGGUGGCAUUCCAGUAAUAUGUUGAAUAUGAAUGGUAGAAGUGGACAUUCUUGAAUUGUUCCCCAUCUUAGGAAGGAAGCAUUCACUCUUCCACCAUUAGGUGUGAUACUAUGAUGUUAUCUGUAGGCUUUUUUUUUUUUUUUCGGAAAUGCUUUUAUGAGACUGACGAUAUUCUCUUCCUCUUCUAGUUUACAGAGAGAUUGUAUCAUGAAUGGGAUUAAAGCUUGUCAAAUACUUUUUUCUGCAUCAAACAGUAUAAUCACGUGCCUUUGCUUGUUUUGAUUUUUAAUUUGUAGAAUACUUCGAUUUUUAAAAUAUGGAUUAAGCCUUGCAUUAGUGGAAUAAGGGAAUAAAGUCCACUUAGUUUUAGUGUAUUACUCUUCUUAUAUGUUGUUAGAUUUGAUUUGCUAGUACUGUAUUGGGAAUGUUUGUGUCUAUGCUCAUGGGGGAUAUUGUUCUGUACUUUUCCUACGGUAACUGUCUUUGGUUUUGGUAUCAGAGUAAUGCUGACCUUAUAAUAUGAACUGGGAGUCUUCCCCUCCUCUUCUGUUUUCUGAAAGAAGUUGUAUAAGAUUAAUAUUAGUCUUUCUUUAAAUAUUUGGCAUGCUUAUAUUUUAAAAAAUCAUGUUGACAGAAUUGAGGUGUAUAUGUAAAGUAGAAUCAGGAAGGAGGCCACUGAAGUUAUUUUCAUGAGAGAUAAAGCUGUCUUGGCUAAGUAGAUAAUUAUAGGGAUGUAAAUAGACAAUUAUGUAACAUAUAUAUGUAUACUGGGUAGCAUUCCAGUAAUAUGUAGAAUAUGAAUAGUAGAAGUGGACAUUCUUGAAUUGUUCCCUGUCUUAGGAAGGAAGCAUUCAGUCAUCCACCAUUAGGUGUUAUCUGUAGGGUGCUUUUUUUUUUUUUUUUUGAAAAGCUUUUAUGAGACUGAGGAUAUUCUCUUCCUCUUCUAGUUUACAGAGAUGUAUUUACAAAUACAUGUCGAUUUGUAUGUGUGUAUACACACACACAUGUAAUUCCUAGGACACUUUCUGAUGCAUAACAGAUAGUCAAUCAAUGUAGUUUUCUUUUUCAUUUCCCCUAAGCUUAAUUUUCCCCAGAAAAUAUAGAUAUAAAUCAGAGUAACUCUUUAGAUCAGAGGCGGCCAAACUAUAGCCUGUGGGCUACCUGCUUCUUUUUGUAAAUACAUUUUUUGGGGUCACAGCCAUGCCAUUUUAUACAGGUUGCCCAUGGCUGCUUUUGUGCCACAACACCAAGGUCGAGCAGUUGCAGUAGAUAUCAUUUGGCCUGCAAGCCUUCGAUAUUUACAAUCUGACAGAGUACCAACCCUGUUUUUGCAAAGUCUCAGGCUGUGGAUGAUGUAAUAAUAGUAACAUGCAACAGCUUUUAGCAGAUAUUAUCCCACAGAAUAAAAGGCAACAUCCUUACGAUUUCCUACGAUGAUCUACAACAACCUGCUACUCCACUCUCUGCCUUCCUUAAUAUGUCUCUGACUUCAUCGCUUCUAACUCCCCCAUCACCUACUCCUUGUCAGCUUUCUUAUUCUUCUUCAAAAAUUUAGACACACUUCCUUU